GUCGNACGCAGUAGCAAUACUGAGUGGCAAACGGGUGAGUAUAAUGUGGGAAUCUGCCUUUUGGUUUGGAAUAACACGGGGAAACUUGUGCUAAUACCAAAUAAGCCCUCACGGGGAAAGUUUUAACGCCGAAAGAUGAGCCCGCACUUGAUUAGCUAGUUGGUAAGGUAAAAGCUUACCAAGGCAAUGAUCAAUAGCUGUUCUUAGAGGAAGACCAGCCACAUUGGGACUGAGACACGGCCCAGACUCCUACGGGAGGCAGCAGUGGGGAAUCUUGCACAAUGGGGGAAACCCUGAUGCAGCGAUGCCGCGUGAGUGAAGAAGGCCUUUGGGUUGUAAAACUCUUUCGUCGGGGAAGAAAAUGACUGUACCCGAAUAAGAAGGUCCGGCUAACUUCGUGCCAGCAGCCGCGGUAAUACGAAGGGACCUAGCGUAGUUCGGAAUUACUGGGCUUAAAGAGCUCGUAGGUGGUUAAAAAAGUUGAUGGUGAAAUCCCAAGGCUCAACCUUGGAACUGCCAUCAAAACUUUUUAGCUAGAGUGUGAUAGAGGUAAGUGGAAUUUCUAGUGUAGAGGUGAAAUUCGUAGAUAUUAGAAAGAACACCAAAUGCGAAGGCAACUUACUGGGUCACUACUGACACUGAGGAGCGAAAGCAUGGGUAGCGAAGAGGAUUAGAUACCCUCGUAGUCCAUGCCGUAAACGAUGUGUGCUAGACGUUGGAAAUAUAUUUUUCAGUGUCGCAGCGAAAGCAUUAAGCACACCGCCUGGGGAGUACGACCGCAAGGNUAAAACUCAAAUGAAUUGACGGGGACCCGCACAAGCAGUGGAGCAUGUGGUUUAAUUCNAAGANACGCGCAGAACCUUANCNA
Molecule: ribosomal RNA, 868 nt
Filed under: uncultured bacterium
Lineage: Bacteria
Description: bacterial SSU rRNA
Rfam family: Bacterial small subunit ribosomal RNA
Source: RNAcentral